AAACGCUGGCGGCGUGUCUUAAGCAUGCAAGUCGAGCGGCAGGCGCAGCAAUGCGCUGAGAGCGGCGGACUGGUGAGUAACGCGUGGGUAAUCUACCUUAGGCAUGGGGAUAGCCACUAGAAAUAGUGGGUAAUACCGAAUACGUUCCCUUAGGGAAGCGCUGAGGGAAGAAAGGGUGCUACGGCACCGGCCUGAGAUGAGCUCGCGUCCCAUUAGCUUGUUGGUGAGGUAACGGCCCACCAAGGCGAUGAUGGGUAGCCGGCCUGAGAGGGUGUACGGCCACACUGGGACUGAGAUACGGCCCANACUCCUACGGGAGGCAGCAGCUAAAAAUAUUCCGCAAUGGACGAAAGUCUGACGGAGCGACGCCGCGUGGAUGAUGAAGGCCGAAAGGUUGUAAAGUCCUUUUGCUGGGGAAGAAUAAGUGUGGGAGGGAAUGCCCGCAUGAUGACNUG
This 455-nucleotide ribosomal RNA is filed under the name uncultured bacterium. RNAcentral describes it as "bacterial SSU rRNA". It matches the Rfam family "Bacterial small subunit ribosomal RNA", at positions 32 to 476 of the family's 1533-position model. The record is from RNAcentral.